AGGCACGUAGCUCAGUUGGUUAGAGCACCACCUUGACAUGGUGGGGGUCGUUGGUUCGAGGUCAAUCGCGCCUACCA
RNAcentral lists this transfer RNA (77 nucleotides) under Pseudomonas syringae pv. maculicola. RNAcentral describes it as "tRNA-Val". It matches the Rfam family "tRNA". Rfam says of the family: Transfer RNA (tRNA) molecules are approximately 80 nucleotides in length. Their secondary structure includes four short double-helical elements and three loops (D, anti-codon, and T loops). The record is from RNAcentral. Lineage: Bacteria; Pseudomonadati; Pseudomonadota; Gammaproteobacteria; Pseudomonadales; Pseudomonadaceae.